RNAcentral lists this ribosomal RNA (370 nucleotides) under uncultured Methanofollis sp. Its description in RNAcentral is "bacterial SSU rRNA". It matches the Rfam family "Archaeal small subunit ribosomal RNA", at positions 941 to 1309 of the family's 1478-position model. Lineage: Archaea; Methanobacteriati; Methanobacteriota; Methanomicrobia; Methanomicrobiales; Methanomicrobiaceae. The record is from RNAcentral.
AGCUGGAUGAUAGCCGGGCUGAAGACUCUGCUGACUAGCUGAGAGGAGGUGCAUGGCCGCUCGCUCAGUUCGUACUGUGAAGCAUCCUGUUAAGUCAGGCAACGAGCGAGACCCACGCCAACAGUUGCCAGCAUGUCCUCCGGGAUGAUGGGGACACUGUUGGGACCGCCUCUGCUAAAGAGGAGGAAGGAAUGGGCAACGGUAGGUCAGCAUGCCCCGAAUUAUCCGGGCUACACGCGGGCUACAAUGGUCAGGACAAUGGGUAUCGACACCGAGAGGUGGAGGCAAUCUCCUAAACCUGUCCUUAGUUCGGAUUGUGGGCUGCAACUCGCCCACAUGAAGCUGGAAUCCGUAGUAAUCCCGUUUCAAA